Molecule: ribosomal RNA, 705 nt
Filed under: uncultured marine alveolate
Lineage: Eukaryota
Description: SSU rRNA
Rfam family: Eukaryotic small subunit ribosomal RNA
Source: RNAcentral
GGUAAAAAAGCUCCGUAGUUGGAUUUCUGUUGAGGACGACCGGUCCAUACCACGUAUGCGCAUCUGGCUCGGCCUCGGCAUCCUCUCGAUAGACGUUCCUGCGCUUGAUUGCGUGGGGCGGAUCUCGGGACUUUUACUUUGAGGAAAUUGGAGUGUUCACGGCAGGCUAUCGCCAGAACAUAUUAGCAUGGAAUAAUACUAUAGGAUCUCGGUUCUAUUUUGUUGGUUUCUAGGAUUGAGAUAAUGAUUAAUAGGGACAAUUGGGGGCAUUCGUAUCAACACGUCAGAGGUGGAAUUCUUGGAUUGUGUUGCGACGAACUACUGCGAAAGCAUUUGCCAAGGAUGUUUUCAUUGAUCAAGAACGAAAGUAAGGGGAUCGAAGACGAUUAGAUACCGUCGUAGUCUUUACCAUAAACUAUGCCAACUAGAGAUCCGGCAUCGUUCACUUACGACUUGCUGGGCACCUUAUGGAUACUAAAGUCUUUGGGUUCCGGGGGGAGUAUGGUCGCAAGGCUGAAACUUAAAGGAAUUGACGGAAGGGCACCACCAGGAGUGGAGCCUGCGGCUUAAUUUGACUCAACACGGGGAAACUCACCAGGUCCAGACAUAAUAAGGAUUGACAGAUUGAUAGCUCUUUCUUGAUUUUAUGGGUGGUGGUGCAUGGCCGUUCUUAGUUCGUGGAGUGAUUUGUCUGCUUAAUUGCGU